Molecule: ribosomal RNA, 260 nt
Filed under: uncultured Glomus
Lineage: Eukaryota; Fungi; Glomeromycota; Glomeromycetes; Glomerales; Glomeraceae
Description: partial 18S ribosomal RNA
Rfam family: Eukaryotic small subunit ribosomal RNA
Source: RNAcentral
AAGCGUCGUAAGUUGAAUUUCGGGGUUAGUAGGUUGGUCAUGCCUCUGGUAUGUACUGGUCUCACUGAUUCCUCCUUCCUUAUGAACCGUAAUGCCAUUAAUUUGGUGUUGCGGGGAAUUUGGACUGUUACUUUGAAAAAAUUGAGUGUUUAAAGCAAGCUAACGCUUGAAUACAUUAGCAUGGAAUAAUGAAAUAGGACGUUCGAUCUUAUUUUGUUGGUUUCUAGGUAUUGACGUAAUGAUUAAUAGGGAUAGUUGGG